This is a long non-coding RNA of Passer domesticus (house sparrow), 4032 nucleotides long. RefSeq lists it as uncharacterized. Lineage: Eukaryota; Metazoa; Chordata; Aves; Passeriformes; Passeridae. The transcript is spliced from 2 exons. The record is from RefSeq and is a predicted model, not a curated record.
CUGCUCGGCGGCCUGCGGGCCGCUCGCACACUGCCAGCUCCCCCCUCACGCUGCUCCCAGUUGCUAAAUGGCAUUAGAAGCAGCUAAAAAUACUUCAAGCGGUUCUCUCGUUUAGUUUUCCGUGCCGGCCGUUGUGUUGGCGGCGGGGAUGUUCUCCAGUGGUCGCUUCUCCACCCACGGGUGGGCAGGUAAUCAGUUCAUUAAUUAGUCCGUGCCAGGCAGGAGAAAACCCUCUGCCAGCCAAAGACCACUGCCUUCAUGGGAUCAAUCAUGGCAAGCAGGUACAGCUGGUGGCCAGGUCACGCCACACCUUCAAAGAGACCUCAAGGAUGACCAGGUGUUAUCUGGUACUUCUCAUAACACAGCAAGUCCGGAGCUGCCUCCUGCAAACCGACUGCAACAGGCUCAGCAGUGCCAGACAGCACGAGUAACACUGGCCUGGAGGGGAGCCAGAAACCCUUCCUCCCUUGGAAGAGAAGCAUGUGAAAAACUAAAGAAGCGUUUGCUGAACUUGACAUGUAAAACAAUGGGCUGGUUUUGGCUGGAGUAGAGUUAAUUUUCUUCACAGUGGUUAGUAUGGGACUGUGCUCUGGAUCUGUGCUGAGCAUAGGGUUGACAAUACAGAAAAGGUUUUGUUAUUGCUGAGCACAGCUGACACACAGCCGAAGUAUUUUCUGCUUCUUGUACUGAUACGCUGGCAAAGAAGUUGGAGGAAGAGACACAGCUGGGACAGGUGACCCCAAGUGACCGAAGAGAGAUUCCAGACCAUAUGACAUCAUGGGAAGUGAACGACUGCCUGUGUGAGGCUUGGUUGCUGGCUGGGGUUAAACCCCAAACAGCAAUGCAAACAAAGCAGGCAUCCUGACUGACCGAGGGCAGGACACGAGGACAGAGCACCCACUGACAGCCAUAAAUACACUGGGGACAAGUGAGCAGCAGACAUCAGGGCACACCUGCCCACAGUUACUUUGGGCAGAGUCCCAGAAGGCCGAAAAUCAAGGGUCAACAGAUUUCCUCUGCCAUGGAGAAAGAACUGCUCUCACAAAUAAAUGCAGCUACUCAAUUAAUUUGGUUUAAAUAGAGAUUAAUUACACUGAACACUUCACUAAGACUGAACAGAGUGCUGCUUGCACCCAGCUCCCUGCAAAGGCAGGCUCCAGGUUUGAUCUGUGCUCUCCACCACUGCCAGGAGAGCAGUGCCAGUGAGAGCAGGGAUGACACUGAUGCAGGAAUUUUGCCAGUUUUCCACCAACAGGCACGAUGGUUUUGGGGUUUUUUUCUCCUUUUCAAUCCAGGAAAAGAAACAUCUAGUUCUUCCAAUUAGCAGGAAAAGGGAAGGAAUGUCCGUCUGUUUAACACCUGAGGGCAAGAAACAGCCUUUUGAAAGAAAGGUUGGGUGGGGGUUUUUUGUUUUUUAAAUCACAGCCACCUACUGUGGGUCUGCAGAUGCCACCAGCUCACUUUGAAUUUCUGCAGCCCCACCAGACCAAGCAGGGUAAGCAGCCCCUUCAGAUGGUCACUCCGGGGAGUUUAGCCCUAUCAGGACAGCUCAGAGACACCUGGAAUCCAUAAGGAACAUUCUGGGUAGAGUCUGAACAAAGUCAGUGGCUCCGGGACCCAGAACUUCCCAAGAUGUGACCUGUCCUUGGGAAACUGUCAAAGUCAUCUUAAAAGCAGUUAGAGGCUGGUGCUCUGCCCACACCACCUACUAUCUACAUGCUAUCACGAGUCAGGUUUCACAAACCAACUAUGUAGACAUCAGGUCUACGAAAGCACUGACCUCUCCAGCAACAGCAAGAUUGCAUCUGCACUGCCAGGAGCUUUGCCACACACAUCACAGGGCUAGAGGGGCAGCAGCCACUGAGGAACACUCAGGUACAAAGCAGCACCAAAGGGAAACGAUUAUGAAAAGCUUCCACACAGAUUUAUAGCAGUAGUCUGUGUUUAUACCUCUAACACCAAAGAGACAUAAAAGGAAACAAGUUCUCUAUGUCCCACACCACAAAUAACCCAUUUUACACCUCUUAUCAAGCAAGCAGUGAGUUGACCAGCUGUGCGCUGCUUUCAGAAAUGCCUAGGUACUUCAGCAAGAUAUAACCUGCUAUUUAUGCAUACUCUUAAUUAGGUCCUAAACCUCGUCUAAAUAAAUAUUAAAGUGAACUCCUGGGUAAUUAUGGUGAAGGAGCAGCCUUUUAAUGCCACUAGAAUAGCAAUGAUACAGAUAAAAUGCCUGCUGGAAUGGACAUUUCCUUGAAAAAAAGAAGUUUGCAUAUCUGCUGUUCCAGAAAAAAAAAAUAAAUGUGGCCAAAAUAUCCAUGUGAGAUGCUAUAAAACCCCAAAUGACUCCCAUGCCCUUCCAGUGAGGAUGAGUUCCACUUGCUGUCACAUAGCCCAGAGCAGGGACACAUCUGCCUGCACCACACAGCUGCUUCACUUUACAAUUCAAGGCCAACAUUUUGUAGGAUCAGUAAUCCCCAACAGCAAAGAAAUCACUACACUUACAGAAACAAAUUUGCCACAGCUUUUAGGACACCUUUUCACAAAGAUGCUAGGAAGUUUCUGUCUGCACUGUGAUCUAAAGCCACUUGCUAAGAUGGUGUGAGAAUAAAGCACAAUCUAUCAAAUCACUACAAAAACCUAACAAAGAAGUUGAUGCACUUCAGACAUGAACAACCAUGUGUCCACACAUCAUCCCAUCAGCAUUCAUGUGUCUACACGUGGUUCCAUUCAGCCCACUGAAGCCUCCCCAAGCUGUCCUCCACCAGUUUAGUGAGCAGAGAGGUGCCACCAAGCAGAAAUCACCAGUUUCCACCAUUGCCCCAGUGGGAUACUUGUCCAAGCACAUGGCUCAUUCCCUCACACACAUUUAUCUUGUUCCCACCGAUAGCCAGGCGCCCAGGUAACGGCCUGUCCAAACCACUUACUCUCCUGAUGGAAAACACGCCACUUAUCACCUGAAACACCAUCUGAAAUCAAAGCUUUGGCAAGUGACUCUUUUCUGGAGACACAAUACACACCACAGGCCUCCUACCCUGGUGCCAGACCUCAGCCUCCAGCUUUAUCACUUGGCCCAUGGGACUCCAGCACCCUGUGCUGAUCCCACAGGUGACGUUCUCCACUCUGGGAAAGCUCAACACCAGCAGUGGGACUGGUGGUUACAUCUGCCCACACCUGCUGAGCAGCAAGAGGGGAGAUCCGGAGCCUCUAAACACAGCCCAUGCCAAAACCACAUGAAUUCACAGGGGGAACGUGAAACUACAGCAGGUGUAGCACCCCACUCCAGGUUUAAUUUGAAAUUCAGUCACACUUGAGGUGCACCACACUUUAAAGCUGUACACAGCACGCCUCCUUUAAAGACUUCCACCACCCUCUCUGAAAUACCCCGCACAGCAGGAUUACAUUUAAAACACAACUUUGCAAGACCUGUUGCUUUCCAAGCAAGGCCAGACACAGACUCCCUGUGCCCCUGGAACAGCAACAUAACCCAGGCCAUACUUUCAGCAUGUCACUGCAGAAAGCCCUUCUUUUGUCAAAUAAUCUUACCUUGCUCAUCACUUUUCUCAAACAGACAACAGCUUUAGAGCUUCAAAUGGAAGCCCUGUCAGCAUGAUGUACUCCUGACAUUCUCCAAAGCUCACCAAGUCAUCUUAAACAAUAAUAUAUAAAAUAAGGACUAGGUCAAACCUUCCCAAUACUGGACUUAAGGGGAAGUCUGCUCACGUUCUGAUCCUACACUGAUGAGGACUGGACUCAAAUGCAAGACUAUUUAUUAGAGACCAUUUUACAAAGCAGGCAGAGUGAAGGGGCGAGAGUAUUUUAACUGCAACCAGUCAGACGUUUCUCAUUAAAAUAUUUCUAGGAGAAGUAAACGGGCCUGCAAUUUUAUUCAAACAGAUGUAGGCUAAAUGCAUAUCAUUAGUCUGACAAUACAAAAGCACAAGCGACUGAAAUGAUUUUAAUUUUGUCAGUGAAAAGGAUAAUGUAUGCAUAUCUGGAGGGCACACCAAUGGUAAAGAUUACCCCCAGCUUCUA